AGUGAACGCUGGCGGUAGGCCUAACACAUGCAAGUCGAACGGCAGCACAGUAAGAGCUUGCUCUUACGGGUGGCGAGUGGCGGACGGGUGAGGAAUACAUCGGAAUCUACUUUUUCGUGGGGGAUAACGUAGGGAAACUUACGCUAAUACCGCAUACGACCUACGGGUGAAAGCAGGGGAUCUUCGGACCUUGCGCGAUUGAAUGAGCCGAUGUCGGAUUAGUUAGUUGGCGGGGUAAAGGCCCACCAAGGCGACGAUCCGUAGCUGGUCUGAGAGGAUGAUCAGCCACACUGGAACUGAGACACGGUCCAGACUCCUACGGGAGGCAGCAGUGGGGAAUAUUGGACAAUGGGCGCAAGCCUGAUCCAGCCAUACCGUGUGGGUGAAGAAGGCCUUCGGGUUGUAAAGCCCUUUUGUUGGGAAAGAAAAGCAGCAGGUUAAUACCCCGCUGUUCUGACGGUACCCAAAGAAUAAGCACCGGCUAACUUCGUG
Molecule: ribosomal RNA, 492 nt
Filed under: uncultured bacterium
Lineage: Bacteria
Description: partial 16S ribosomal RNA
Rfam family: Bacterial small subunit ribosomal RNA
Source: RNAcentral